CCUACGGGCGGCAGCAGUGAGGAAUAUUGGUCAAUGGGCGCGAGCCUGAACCAGCCAAGUAGCGUGAAGGAUGACUGCCCUACGGGUUGUAAACUUCUUUUAUAUGGGAAUAAAGUGAGGCACGUGUGCCGUUUUGUAUGUACUUUAUGAAUAAGGAUCGGCUAACUCCGUGCCAGCAGCCGCGGUAAUACGGAGGAUCCGAGCGUUAUCCGGAUUUAUUGGGUUUAAGGGGUGCGCAGGCGGAGUUUUAAGUCAGCGGUAAAAUUGUGGGGCUCAACCUCAUCCAGCCGUUGAAACUGGGGAUCUAGAGUGCGGGAGAGGUAGGCGGAAUGCGUGGUGUAGCGGUGAAAUGCAUAGAUAUCACGCAGAACCCCGAUUGCGAAGGCAGCUUACUGGUGUACAACUGACGCUGAGGCACGAAAGCGUGGGUAUCGAACAGGAUUAGAUACCCUGGUAGUC
RNAcentral lists this ribosomal RNA (459 nucleotides) under uncultured bacterium. RNAcentral describes it as "partial 16S ribosomal RNA". It matches the Rfam family "Bacterial small subunit ribosomal RNA", at positions 338 to 795 of the family's 1533-position model. The record is from RNAcentral.